UACGUAGGGGGCUAGCGUUGUCCGGAAUCAUUGGGCGUAAAGCGCGUGUAGGCGGCCCGGUAAGUCCGCUGUGAAAGUCGGGGGCUCAACCCUCGAAUGCCGGUGGAUACUGUCGGGCUAGAGUACGGAAGAGGCGAGUGGAAUUCCUGGUGUAGCGGUGAAAUGCGCAGAUAUCAGGAGGAACACCCAUUGCGAAGGCGGUUCUCUGGGCCUGUUCUGACGCUGAGGAGCGAAAGCGUGGGGAGCAAACAGG
This 253-nucleotide ribosomal RNA is filed under the name uncultured bacterium. RNAcentral's name for it is "partial 16S ribosomal RNA". It matches the Rfam family "Bacterial small subunit ribosomal RNA", at positions 524 to 776 of the family's 1533-position model. The record is from RNAcentral.